CAAUUCAAAGGAUGUCACCACUUGAGUAGAGGAAAAAAAUUUUGAAUUUUUAAGAGAGGCUAUGUUGAGUAUAUAGCUUUAGGAUGAGGACUCACAUGAAUCUCGAUGCAAGGGGAAGAAUUAAUUGAUGGGGUCUCCACCCAAGUCAAGAGUGGGAUAUUGCUAAAAAGAAGGGACGAGAAAGACUUUAGCUGUGGAACCUCCACUAUGGCAGUUUGAGGAGAAGACACAAAGAUAUCUUUCAAGCUAUAAUAUGCACAUUUAGUGCCCUGACAAGAAGGAGGGAGAUCUUUCUCUUUUGAUGGUGGUUCUUUUUCACAAGGAGUGAAAGAUCAAGUUAGCCAAAGUCUCAAUUCUGGUGUCAAUGUAGGAGGAUUUUGAUGCCAAAACCAAUGUAUUUGAAUGUGAAAUCAUAAUGUUAGGCG
Molecule: long non-coding RNA, 425 nt
Filed under: Elaeis guineensis (African oil palm)
Lineage: Eukaryota; Viridiplantae; Streptophyta; Magnoliopsida; Arecales; Arecaceae
Description: long non-coding RNA (EGUI_LNC035954)
Source: RNAcentral